RNAcentral lists this microRNA (22 nucleotides) under Petromyzon marinus (sea lamprey). RNAcentral's name for it is "pma-miR-26b-3p". Its record names the gene pma-miR-26b-3p. The record is from miRBase by way of RNAcentral. Lineage: Eukaryota; Metazoa; Chordata; Hyperoartia; Petromyzontiformes; Petromyzontidae.
CCUAUCCUCGACUACUUGGGUU